Catharus ustulatus (Swainson's thrush) is the source of this 1101-nucleotide long non-coding RNA. RefSeq lists it as uncharacterized. The record is from RefSeq and is a predicted model, not a curated record. NCBI's taxonomy places the organism in Eukaryota, Metazoa, Chordata, Aves, Passeriformes, Turdidae. The transcript has 4 exons.
AACUUGUUAAGUACAGUAAUGUAUAGUAGCCAUUAAGGCUCAUUUUGGAAUCCCAAUGGAACAGCUAUGGCUUGCGUUUAGUCAUUGAUGGCUUCAUACGUGGAAGAACUUCUUCCCCUUCAACUGGGACUUGUCCUGGUAUGCUUACAGAUCCACUGUGAGGUGCUGGUGUGGAUUGUUGAGAAGUACACGUGAACAUGUACAUGAAAAAGUACUGUGAAAAGUACAUCAAAACAAACAUGUUGCUCUUUGAGACAGUCAAUGCUGUCUCUCUUUUUAUUUUAUUGUAGAAGAACCAGUGGGCUCUUUGUGAGGGAGUAAAUCCAGAGACUAGCUUUUCAUCUGCUGUCUGAGAGAACCUGCACUGUGCUUUGAACAUUCACCUGCUGCUUGUGUUUCAUCUCAUUAUGCCUGGUCUUGUGUAUUCUUGCCACACUUUUUGGUCCAUACUCUUCCCAUGGGUUAGCAGCUAUCUGCCAAUAGCAGGCUGGGGAGAAACCUUCCACUGGCUGUCAGACAAGGAGAUGUAAGAGGAAAAACUAAUGAUCUGUGUACUAACACUUUUGCUUGAUGUUUAUUUCUAGCAAGAGCACAGAUCUUUCCCAAGGACUCUUGGUGCUGUGUGAAAAGUCUUCCAGGUUGUUGGCAGAAGUACGUUUCUCUUCAUCAAAGAUAGAUAUAAAUGAGAAAUGCUGCUAUUGAUUGUCAUCCAAAACUCUUGAGAAAAAGCUUUGCUCAGUGUUUGUGACUGCCAGUGAAGUCUGUUCUUUAGUUGUAUACUGGAGAGGGAAGUUCUGAUAGCCUGGCUCAGCUAGCAGGCUUUCAAUUCGAGGACCAGUGCAGGCAGUCUGAUUCCUUGUGUUUCAACAUGAUGUGUGCAGGAUGUGGAUCGAAAAACAUUGAGAACAGCAAGUGAAUCAUAAGAUCCUUUUGUCUGUUGAGCUUUCUGCACAAGGGAGUCGGUUUCUUAGAAAAUAGAUAGCUAUGCAGAAGGGCAAGGAAAAGUGGAGUACUUGAACCUGCUGAUGGCCUAUGUGAGAAACACAUCAAAAGCUACCACUGUGAUCCCUAUAAAUAGUAAAUAAAAGGUUGAAUAAAAGG